RNAcentral lists this unclassified non-coding RNA (227 nucleotides) under rhizosphere metagenome. Its description in RNAcentral is "partial ribosomal RNA internal transcribed spacer region". The record is from RNAcentral.
GUAGGUGAACCUGCGGAAGGAUCAUUAACAAUGUGCUAGCGGGUCCUCUUUGAAAUAAUAACGGGAUGUCUGAACCCUUGAAUACAAACUUUAGUUGCUUUGGCAGGCCGCCUUUUGGCGUCGGCCUCGGCUGAUUAGUGCCUGCCAGAGGACAAAACUCUAUGUUUUAGUGAAGUCUGAGUACUAUAUAAUAGUUAAAACUUUCAACAACGGAUCUCUUGGUUCUG